This 253-nucleotide ribosomal RNA is filed under the name uncultured prokaryote. RNAcentral's name for it is "partial 16S ribosomal RNA". It matches the Rfam family "Bacterial small subunit ribosomal RNA", at positions 524 to 776 of the family's 1533-position model. The record is from RNAcentral.
UACGUAGGGUGCAAGCGUUAAUCGGAAUUACUGGGCGUAAAGCGUGCGCAGGCGGUGAUGCAAGACCGAUGUGAAAUCCCCGGGCUUAACCUGGGAACUGCAUUGGUGACUGCAUCGCUAGAGUAUGGCAGAGGGGGAUGGAAUUCCGCGUGUAGCAGUGAAAUGCGUAGAUAUGCGGAGGAACACCGAUGGCGAAGGCAAUCCCCUGGGCCUGCACUGACGCUCAUGCACGAAAGCGUGGGGAGCAAACAGG